GAGUGUGGAUCCUGAGUCAGAACG
This 24-nucleotide non-coding RNA is filed under the name Cricetulus griseus (Chinese hamster). Lineage: Eukaryota; Metazoa; Chordata; Mammalia; Rodentia; Cricetidae. The record is from RNAcentral.